GCCCCAGUGGCUUAGAGGCUAUAGUAUCUCUGCUUGCUCACAAUCAGCAGGUCGCGCGUUCAAUUCGCGCCUGGGGCUCCA
Molecule: transfer RNA, 81 nt
Filed under: Candidatus Thorarchaeota archaeon
Lineage: Archaea; Promethearchaeati; Candidatus Thorarchaeota
Description: tRNA-Val
Source: RNAcentral